RNAcentral lists this ribosomal RNA (384 nucleotides) under uncultured bacterium. RNAcentral describes it as "bacterial SSU rRNA". It matches the Rfam family "Bacterial small subunit ribosomal RNA", at positions 524 to 906 of the family's 1533-position model. The record is from RNAcentral.
UACAGAGGUCCCAAGCGUUGUUCGGAUUCACUGGGCGUAAAGGGUGCGUAGGUGGUCGGGUAAGUCUGAUGUGAAAUCUCAGAGCUCAACUCUGAAACUGCAUUGGAUACUAUCCGGCUGGAGGGUCGGAGGGGGGACUGGAAUUCUUGGUGUAGCAGUGAAAUGCGUAGAUAUCAAGAGGAACACCAGUGGCGAAGGCGAGUCCCUGGACGACUCCUGACACUGAGGCACGAAAGCUAGGGGAGCAAACAGGAUUAGAUACCCUGGUAGUCCUAGCCGUAAACGGUGCUUAUUUGCUGUAAAAGGAAUCGACCCCUUUUGUGGCGUAGCUAACGCGAUAAAUAAGCCGCCUGGGAAGUACGGUCGCAAGAUUAAAACUCAAAG